Molecule: ribosomal RNA, 425 nt
Filed under: uncultured bacterium
Lineage: Bacteria
Description: bacterial SSU rRNA
Rfam family: Bacterial small subunit ribosomal RNA
Source: RNAcentral
GUGAGGAAUUUUGCGCAAUGGGGGCAACCCUGACGCAGCGACGCCGCGUGGAGGACGAAGUCUUUCGGGAUGUAAACUCCUGUCAGUGGGGACGAUAAUGACGGUACCCACAGAGGAAGCACCGGCUAACUCCGUGCCAGCAGCCGCGGUAAGACGGAGGGUGCAAGCGUUGUUCGGAAUUACUGGGCGUAAAGCGUAUGUAGGCGGCAAGUUAAGUUCAAUGUUAAAGCCCACGGCUCAACCGAGGAGAUGCAUUGAAUACUGGCUAGCUAGAGGGUGUUAGAGGAAGACGGAAUUCCCAGUGUAGCGGUGAAAUGCGUAGAUAUUGGGAGGAACAUCGGUAGCGAAAGCGGUCUUCUGGGACAUACCUGACGCUGAGGUACGAAAGCGUGGGGAGCAAACGGGAUUAGAUACCCUGGUAGUCC